CUACUUGUCUGCAGCAGUACUCUGAAUUUAUGUGGGCUUUCCCGUAUUCACUGAAGGCCCUGGCUCACAGGGAGAUGCUUCUCAGCAGUGGAAGCCGAUACCUCAUUCGAUCAGAUGAUAUGAUAGAAACAGUUUACAACGACAGAGGAGAGAUUGUUAAAACCAAAGAACGCCGAGUCUUCAUGUUAAAUGAUGUGUUAAUGUGUGCCACCGUCAGCUCACGCCCCUCUCAUGACAGCCGUGUGAUGAGCAGCCAGAGGUACUUGCUGAAGUGGAGCGUUCCACUGGGACAUGUGGACGCCAUCGAGUAUGGCAGCAGCGCAGGCACGGGCGAGCACAGCAGGCACCUUGCCGUUCACCCGCCGGAGAGCCUGGCCGUGGUUGCUAACGCGAAACCAAACAAAGUUUACAUGGGGCCAGGACAACUGUAUCAAGAUUUACAAAACUUGUUGCAUGACUUAAAUGUAAUUGGCCAAAUCACUCAGCUGAUAGGAAACCUUAAAGGAAACUAUCAGAACUUAAACCAGUCAGUAGCCCA
This 538-nucleotide unclassified non-coding RNA is filed under the name Homo sapiens (human). RNAcentral's name for it is "Rho guanine nucleotide exchange factor 10 (ENSG00000274726.4)". Lineage: Eukaryota; Metazoa; Chordata; Mammalia; Primates; Hominidae. The record is from RNAcentral.